UACGUAGGCAGCAAGCGUUGUUCGGAGUUACUGGGCGUAAAGGGUGCGUAGGCGGCUCUAUAAGUAUGGUGUGAAAUCUCCCGGCUUAACUGGGAGGGUGCGCUAUAGACUGUGGGGCUAGAGUGCGGGAGAGGAAAGUGGAAUUCCUGGUGUAGCGGUGAAAUGCGUAGAUAUCAGGAGGAACACCGGUGGUGUAAACGGCUUUCUGGACCAUAACUGACGCUGAGGCACGAAAGCGUGGGUAGCAAACAGG
Molecule: ribosomal RNA, 253 nt
Filed under: uncultured bacterium
Lineage: Bacteria
Description: partial 16S ribosomal RNA
Rfam family: Bacterial small subunit ribosomal RNA
Source: RNAcentral